GCAUCAUAGAGGGUGAGAAUCCCGUCUUUGACAUGGACUGCCAGGGCUUUUGUGAUGCGCUCUCAAAGAGUCGAGUUGUUUGGGAAUGCAGCUCAAAAAGGGUGGUAAAUUCCAUCUAAAGCUAAAUAUUGGCGAGAGACCGAUAGCGAACAAGUACCGUGAGGGAAAGAUGAAAAGAACUUUGGAAAGAGAGUUAAACAGUACGUGAAAUUGCUGAAAGGGAAACGCUUGAAGUCAGUCACGUCAUCCAGGGAUCAACCUUGCUUUUGCUUGGUGCACUUUCUGGUUUGAUGGGUCAGCAUCAAUUUUGACCAUUGGAAAAAGGCUAAGGGAAUGUGGCAUCUUUGGACGCGUUAUAGCCCUUGGUCACAUACAAUGGUUGGGAUUGAGGAACUCAGCACGCCGCAAGGCCGGGUUUUAAACCACGUUCGUGCUUAGGAUGCUGGCAAUAUGGCUUUAAUCGACCCGUCUUGAAACACGGACCAAGGAGUCUAACAUGCCUGCGAGUGUUUGGGUGGAAAACCCGAGCGCGUAAUGAAAGUGAAAAGUUGAGAUCCCUGUCGUGGGGAGCAUCGACGCCCGGACCAGACCUUCUGUGACGGUUCCGCGGUAGAGCAUGUAUGUUGGGACCCGAAAGAUGGUGAACUAUGCCUGAAUAGGGUGAAUCCAGAGGAAACUCUGGUGGAGGCUCGUAGCGAUUCUGACGUGCAAAUCGAUCGUCAAAUUUGGGUAUAGGGGCGAAAGACUAAUCGAACCAUCUAGUAGCUGGUUCCUGCCGA
RNAcentral lists this ribosomal RNA (779 nucleotides) under uncultured Cortinarius. RNAcentral describes it as "partial 28S ribosomal RNA". It matches the Rfam family "Eukaryotic large subunit ribosomal RNA", at positions 200 to 964 of the family's 3401-position model. Lineage: Eukaryota; Fungi; Basidiomycota; Agaricomycetes; Agaricales; Cortinariaceae. The record is from RNAcentral.